RNAcentral lists this ribosomal RNA (251 nucleotides) under uncultured bacterium. RNAcentral's name for it is "partial 16S ribosomal RNA". It matches the Rfam family "Bacterial small subunit ribosomal RNA", at positions 524 to 774 of the family's 1533-position model. The record is from RNAcentral.
UACAGAGGGGCAAGCGUUAUUCGGAAUUAUUGGGCGUAAAGGGCGCGUAGGCGGCCUUUCAAGUGACGGGUGAAAGCCCUCGGCUUAACCGAGGAACUGCCUGUCAGACUGGAAGGCUUGAGACCGGGAGAGGUGAGUGGAAUUCCCGAGUGUAGCGGUGAAAUGCGUAGAUAUUGGGAGGAACACCAGUGGCGAAGGCGGCUCACUGGACCGGUACUGACGCUGAGGCGCGAAAGCGUGGGGAGCAAACA